CGUAGGUGGUCCUUCAAGUCAGAUGUGAAAUCUCCCGGCGUUAACUGGGAGCGGUCAUCUGAUACUGCUGGACUUGAGGGUGGUAGAGGGAGGUGGAAUUCCCGGUGUAGUGGUGAAAUGCGUAGAUAUCGGGAGGAACACCAGUGGCGAAGGCGGCCUCCUAGGCCAUUCCUGACACUGAGGCGCGAAAGCGUGGGGAGCGAACAGGAUCAGAUACCCUGGUAGUCCACGCCCUAAACUGUGGAAACUAGGUACAGGGAGUAUCGACCCUUCCUGCGCCGUAGCUAACGCGUUAAGUUUCCCGCCUGGGGACUACGGUCGCAAGACUAAA
RNAcentral lists this ribosomal RNA (331 nucleotides) under uncultured bacterium. Its description in RNAcentral is "bacterial SSU rRNA". It matches the Rfam family "Bacterial small subunit ribosomal RNA", at positions 570 to 898 of the family's 1533-position model. The record is from RNAcentral.